UAACGCAGGACUCCAGCCUGUUGCAUCCCUGCCUCACCCUCGGGCUUUCCCGCAGCGGUGCAUGAGCCAGUGCCCAUUCUCAGCUGACCAUAUUGUGCCGGGCAGUGAUUUAAUACAGCACAUGUAAGCGUGCCCGCUCAACAAUACAAUCAAGCGUUUCAUCUAAGACUAUGGCAAGCAACCAGGCUCGGCAUGAAACUAUAUUGAAAUGCCCCUACAACCCUGCUCACAUGGUGAAGAGAAGCCGCUACCAAAUACAC
This is a long non-coding RNA of Dermacentor silvarum, 260 nucleotides long. RefSeq lists it as uncharacterized. The transcript is spliced from 3 exons. The record is from RefSeq and is a predicted model, not a curated record. NCBI's taxonomy places the organism in Eukaryota, Metazoa, Arthropoda, Arachnida, Ixodida, Ixodidae.